This is a long non-coding RNA of Magallana angulata, 1375 nucleotides long. RefSeq lists it as uncharacterized. Lineage: Eukaryota; Metazoa; Mollusca; Bivalvia; Ostreida; Ostreidae. The transcript is spliced from 4 exons. The record is from RefSeq and is a predicted model, not a curated record.
AAAAUAUUCUUCGAUGAUAAUUGAUACUUAAGUUUUAAAUAACUCCUUUAAUUGUUGUAUCUCACACUUGUAAACUUCUUUUCAUGCAGUGCUAUAUACUAUAGUCUGUCCUAAGAUAUUUAUGCUGCAUAUUUGAACGAGUUUUAAUAAAAAAAUACACAUACCUGUGACUGAAGUGCAAUUAAAAUCGAUGAAAGGGAAAAUUCCUAAGAUAACUUCAUUCACACAUUAUUAUUUUUCCCUCGUAAAAAUUCACAGGAACGAAAACAGAUUUCCUACGGAGAUUUAUAAUGGGGAAUGUUGACAUCUUUUCUCCAUUCGGAUAUACUCGCGACCCCUCGCGCAAUUUUUCAACGUUAUCAUCGGGGCGUCUUCAUCUCCUUGGCAAUGGAAAAACCCUGUAGACUUUUUAUUUUUAGCCGUGUACUGAUACCCGACAAGCUAGAGGGGGCGUUUCAAAGGGGAACUCUUGGGAUUUUUUCAUACUAUUGAAUGAACAUCGUCUGAACCAAGAGGAAAUUGAUUGAAACAUUUGGUAAAACCCAUGCAGGAGCUUCCAGGUGCUUUGCAGCUUGGGGCUUCACUAGGUUUUUGCCCUGGACCCACUGCAGAAACGUUUGCAAGAAGAAAGAGGCAAAUUAAGUGUUGAUUGGGCUUCUGAGCUAAAACAAGAUCAUGAAGAUGAUAGAAAAUUUACUGGGCUAGAUGACUGGGAGCUGAUCAUGGUGACAUUAGCUAGUGAAGAUAAAAACCAGUACCCUAGCUCUCAUCGAUCAAUAACUGUCCUGACUAUGAGGUCCAGACAAAUUGAGGUCCUGACCUAGCUGGGAGCUCUUCACCUACAUACAUGUAUGCAUCAAUGUGAGUGAAUUAAUCUUGAAUCUUAAUUGCAUGUCAAAUGCAGGUCUAAUAAUUGGUAAGUAUCAGUAUUUUUCUUCGUGGAAAAUUUAUGUCCCGGAGUAUCACCAUGCUCAUAUAGCAUGCUUACUGAUUGAUAAUUUUGUCUUGUUUUGUCUUGUUUUUGUGCCCCAUUACAAUUAGCUCCCUUGCACUUUCAUGAAAGAAAUCCCCCCAGUGGCAUUAAUGCUUAGUAUGUACUGUGGAAUCAUUAAAUUUCAUUGUGGCUCAAUUUUCGUGGAAUUCAUGGUACCUCUCAACAACGAAGUAACAUCCUCACACAAAUUAAUAAACUAUGGUUAUAAAGUUAUAUUUCAUUUUGUAGGUAGAAGAAAUACACAAAAUUACGUCCCACCAAACCUAUAACAUUUAAAUUCAUCAAUGCAUGAAAAUUGUCCCCCACAAAUUUUAAUAAUUCCACAGUAUGCAUUUAUAAACAACAUGAUGUGAUCUACAUUUUGAUUUUAUAACUAAAGAG